Molecule: ribosomal RNA, 460 nt
Filed under: uncultured bacterium
Lineage: Bacteria
Description: partial 16S ribosomal RNA
Rfam family: Bacterial small subunit ribosomal RNA
Source: RNAcentral
CCUACGGGUGGCAGCAGUGAGGAAUAUUGGUCAAUGGACGAGAGUCUGAACCAGCCAAGUAGCGUGAAGGAUGACUGCCCUAUGGGUUGUAAACUUCUUUUAUAUGGGAAUAAAACGUUCCACGUGUGGGAUUUUGUAUGUACCAUAUGAAUAAGGAUCGGCUAACUCCGUGCCAGCAGCCGCGGUAAUACGGAGGAUCCGAGCGUUAUCCGGAUUUAUUGGGUUUAAAGGGAGCGUAGGUGGAUUGUUAAGUCAGUUGUGAAAGUUUGCGGCUCAACCGUAAAAUUGCAGUUGAAACUGGCAGUCUUGAGUACAGUAGAGGUAGGCGGAAUGCGUGGUGUAGCGGUGAAAUGCUUAGAUAUCACGAAGAACUCCGAUUGCGAAGGCAGUUCACUGGACUGCAACUGACACUGAGGCUCGAAAGUGUGGGUAUCAAACAGGAUUAGAUACCCUUGUAGUC